CUGGUAUCUGAGUAUGGACACUGCCCUUCUCAGUGAGGCUAUAAGAAGUAUGAGCCAGAGGCAAAUGUACAGAAGAUUGAAUCAGCUGAUGAAGGGUCUGAAACAUUUCUACUCUUAAUGACUAGGGUGUUCCUAGGGACAUCAAUUGGCUUCUGGAUUUAAAUAGACAGCUGACUAGAUGCAUCUAAGAAGUGCUACUGCCACAGCAAGUGGUGAUUUCAACUAUACCAACAUAAUCUGAACAGAUCUUCAGAGAGAAAAUGCAGAAUGUGAAAGGAGAAAAGAUGCAGUCACUGAGGUUGAAGAGGGAGGAAGCCUCAAAGGUACACAAAGGAACCAUUUGGUUAAGUUUACCUACUGCCCAUUGCUCUCAAGUGCCUUCUACUGGUUCCUAUCCCAAACUACAACGUGCUAAAUUGCUCUACUGAUUCACCCCCUUGCAACACCGGGAACAACCAUUCUAUAACAAAGAUGCUGCACAGAGCCUUAGUACUCUAAAAACUUCCAAAAAUAAAGCCAGUGGACCAUACUCAACUUAUAGCACAAUUAAAGUAAUGACAGCCCUUCCAGAUGAGAAAAAAAAAAAAAAUCAGACAAUCCAGAUGAGAAAAAAAAUCAGACAAGAACUCUGGCAGUUCAAAAAACCAGAAUGUCCCCUUAUCCCCAAACGAGCCUACUGGCACCCCAGCAAUGGUUCUUAGUCUGAAUUGUCUGAAAUGACAGAAACGGAAUUCAGAAUGUAGAUGGCAAGGAAGCUCAUCGAGAUGGAGAAAAUUGAAAUUCAAAGAAUCCAAGGCAAGCCAGUAAAACAAUUCAAGAGCUAAAGACAAAAUACUAAUUAUUUUUAAAUAAAUAUUUUAAGUUCUAGGAUACAUGUGUACAACGUGCAGGUUUGUUACAUUGGCAUACAUGUGCCAUGUUGGUUUGCUGCACCCAUUAACUAAUCAUUUAGAUUGUGUGGUCUAACUCCAGCCAAUGGGGAAAGGACACAGAAACAGGAACUGAACUGUGUUAGGGAUAAAAGCUCCUGCCCUACCCCACUUGGUACGCUCUUUGUGGUCACGACUGAUGCAGGCAGCACCCUUCGGCAGAAGUAAAUUUGCCUUGCUGAGAAGUCUUGUUUGAUUGCUCAUUUUCUUUGCUAUUCUGAGCUCUUAUUGCAAACAAUCUGGGGGCUCGUCUGGGAUUCCCAUUCUUCUCUGGGAAGGGUCUCCGAUCACCUCUCAUGAGGAGACACAUCUUGCUGCCUUGUUGUGGUGGCCUCAGGGUUAAGGAAUCGCAAUCCACCCCGUGUGACAAAUAAACUCGAGCUCUCAGCAACGUGGGAAGGGGGAAGAGAAGGCCUACAAAUACCGCAGUGACCAGGUAAUUCUGUGCACAGACCAAGGACUCAAGGCCUUCUAGCACA
RNAcentral lists this long non-coding RNA (1408 nucleotides) under Homo sapiens (human). Its description in RNAcentral is "HSALNT0250570". The record is from RNAcentral. Lineage: Eukaryota; Metazoa; Chordata; Mammalia; Primates; Hominidae.